Molecule: long non-coding RNA, 492 nt
Filed under: Dromaius novaehollandiae (emu)
Lineage: Eukaryota; Metazoa; Chordata; Aves; Casuariiformes; Dromaiidae
Description: lncRNA (ENSDNVG00000011688.1)
Source: RNAcentral
CAUUUAAUCUUUAUUUGACAUUUUCUCCCUUAAAACAUUCAGGCUUGGGAUUUUGCUGGCACUUUCUGCACAUUUUAACUAGAUCUAUGUAGAAUUUUCUAUAAAAUCAGGUCAGCUUGCGAUGUCUGGAGUCUGCCUGGAAGGCCUGGGAUUGCUACAGCCUCAGAUCAACCCAACAAAAGACAUUAAGGUUAACAAGUCCUUACUCCUUCCUCCUUCAUUCUUAGCCAAAAAAAUAUUCCUGAACUAUCCAUGCACCUCUUUGUCCAUCACACAAGAUAACAGCAAGAAAGAUGUAGUAUUUGGAUUCCAGCUAAGCCAAUGUGACAUGAGCGCGACUACUACUGGAAGUACCUUCCUGCAACUUGUGCUGUAGCAACUGCACUGAAAUUACUCACACCUCUUAAUUAAACCGGAGGUAACAUUUGGGAUUCAUCAAGACUGUCUUAGGAGAAGGCGGCUGAUACCACAAAACAAAUGAGAAAAGACUGU